RNAcentral lists this ribosomal RNA (372 nucleotides) under uncultured Glomus. RNAcentral describes it as "eukaryotic LSU rRNA". The record is from RNAcentral. Lineage: Eukaryota; Fungi; Glomeromycota; Glomeromycetes; Glomerales; Glomeraceae.
UUGAAAGGGAAACGAUUGAAGUCAGUCGUACUUGCGGGUAAUCAGCCUUUUGGGUGCGAUUCUGUGGAGCGUGGGGAGUUAAACGCCUUCAUGCCUGCAUAUUCGUGCACUUUGGGUGUACUUGCCCGUGUGUAGGUUAACAUCAAUUUUGAUCAUCAUAAAAUGGCUGGAGGAAUGUAGCUUCGAUCUUGUAUUGAAGUGUUAUAGCCUUCGGCAGAUGUGAUGGUUGGGAUUGAGGAUUGCAACGGAUACUCUUCGGGGCUACCUGUCUGAUCUCUGAUCGUUGCUCUGGUGUCGAAAGCUUGCUUACGGUCAUCAAAGUCGAUGGUCAACAGGCUAGAACGGGUUAAAUUCGUUAAGGAUGUUGACGUA